GCAGAAGGAAGUAAAAUGAAAAAGAAAGCAGACUGGCCUGAGUGGUUACUAGACAUCAGAAAAACCAUCUGGGAGAAGGAAAGAGCCACGUCUUACUGCUUUUAUGGAUUUACAGAAAAUUGAGAUCCUACAACAUACUCAAAAUCUCUAUAAACAGCGAUCCAAACUGAGACCCCUUGAGCUCUUGCAGAGAGCAGCAAGCUGUGACCAGCAAUGUCCCUCUGAGUGGGACACCCCCUAGAGCCAGAGAACUCUCAAGUUUGCUAUACUUGGAUGAUCACUGAACAAUGACAGCAGAUCCUGGGCCGAUACCCUGACUCCUCAAGACUCAACCCUUCGCUUGUUGAAAAGAUGCAAAGGCAUCUGAAGUACUUCACUGAAUCCGAGGACAAUUUUUCAAGUGUAUACCUUGUGCAGGCUCUUUAUGUCUGUGUGCAUGCAAGCAUGAAUAUGCCAUAGCAAAUGUACCAGUAAUGUUUCUCCCCUAGAUUCUUAAGUAUUUUAGGUUUGUAGUAAGUUAGGCCUGUGAGUUACUGUUAUGCUAUAGUAGUAAAUUCUAUAUGAAUCCCUUGCUAAGUUGUUUAUCUUAAGAUAUUAAGUGCAGUUAAGGUUAAGUGCUUUUGGACCUUUAGGUCCAAAACUGUUUGUCAAGUUUAGCACAAGAGUCUACUCUGAACCUUGUGACCCAACAGGAGGGUCUUCCAUAUUCCUUUUUUUCCUUGCCCUUUCCUAUUCUUUUCUUCUCUGACCUACCCCCUUGCCCUAUCCCUCAGCCUCCACAUAGAUGAUUUUGGGUUUACUUUGGUUUAGAUUGAUUUAUUUUAGAUUUUUGGUUUGCUUUUGUCUGUGUGCUUUAAGUAGAGUGAACCUUGCCUAUGAGCUUUGUUGUGCUAUUGCAUUUAUAUUAAACCUGUUUUUGCUGA
Long non-coding RNA from Pipra filicauda (Wire-tailed manakin), 923 nucleotides. RefSeq lists it as uncharacterized. The transcript has 3 exons. The record is from RefSeq and is a predicted model, not a curated record. NCBI's taxonomy places the organism in Eukaryota, Metazoa, Chordata, Aves, Passeriformes, Pipridae.